This 497-nucleotide ribosomal RNA is filed under the name uncultured bacterium. RNAcentral's name for it is "partial 16S ribosomal RNA". It matches the Rfam family "Bacterial small subunit ribosomal RNA", at positions 28 to 507 of the family's 1533-position model. The record is from RNAcentral.
GAUGAACGCUGGCGGCGUGCCUAAUACAUGCAAGUCGAGCGAACAGACGAGGAGCUUGCUCCUCUGACGUUAGCGGCGGACGGGUGAGUAACACGUGGAUAACCUACCUAUAAGACUGGGAUAACUUCGGGAAACCGGAGCUAAUACCGGAUAAUAUAUUUAACCGCAUGGUUCAAUAGUGAAAGACGGUUUUGCUGUCACUUAUAGAUGUAUCCGCGCCGCAUUAGCUAGUUGGUAAGGUAACGGCUUACCAAGGCAACGAUGCGUAGCCGACCUGAGAGGGGGAUCGGCCACACUGGAACUGAAACACGGUCCAGACUCCUACGGGAGGCAGCAGUAGGGAAUCUUCGGAAAUGGGCGAAAGCCUGACGGAGCAACGCCGCGUGAGUGAUGAAGGUCUUCGGAUCGUAAAACUCUGUUAUUAGGGAAGAACAAAUGUGUAAGUAACUAUGCACGUCUUGACGGUACCUAAUCAGAAAGCCACGGCUAACUACGUG